CCUGCCCCUAGAGGUACUGCAGAUGUGGCUGCACUGUCACAUGUGUGUCGGUAGGUGGCAGAGAAGAGAGAGGCUAUGUCUACACACAGUGUUCUGACCUAUGAACAUCUGAAUGAUUAGAAGUCUAACACU
Molecule: small nucleolar RNA, 132 nt
Organism: Mastomys coucha (southern multimammate mouse)
Lineage: Eukaryota; Metazoa; Chordata; Mammalia; Rodentia; Muridae
Product: small nucleolar RNA SNORA17
Exons: 1
Source: RefSeq, a predicted model, not a curated record